CUGGACUUUCAGGAGCCAUGGACAGUAGCUUCUCACUAGUAAAAGCCAGAUACUAACAGUAAGAAACGAGAGAGAAAGAACAACUCAGUCAAUCAAUUAAGGAAGAAUCCAAGGGCAGAGGAGCAUCAAGGAUAGGGAGGAAGCAGCCUUCAAGACGUUAGCGGACCUAUGCUCAACCGCCAUGAUGUGAACGAACAACAAAUUCCCGGAACAAACACAUGUCUUUCUUUCGUCCCCGCAGAGGAGAAGAAGCUCCAUCUGAACGGUGUCUACUUCCUCGGCUGUCACCUGACCGAGCUGCUCAGGUCCUGGGAGACUCCAUCGGAGACCUUCUCACUCAUCCUCUGCAGCUUUUAGUUAGACUUGGGGUCAUCUGUCCUGUGCCUGAGCAUCAUCGCACGAAUACCCGAGUCCGAGUCUGAGCGCUGUCUCAUCUGUGCUAUUUACAGCCGAGGCUCCUCUGCGGUCUUCUGGAAAGCGUUGAGGCCACUCUGUAAAGCCUGGGCUUAGAGGGCCAGAGGACUGAGAACUCUAUCCCAGCACCAUCCUGCUUGUCUUCAGCCACGGCUUCUAGCCCACCUCAUUUUCUUCGAGGCCUGUCUUUAUCUUUAUGUCCAUCCGGCACCACCUGCUGUACCACCCUGCUAGGAUGAACGCGCUGACCCUGGAGCCGUACCCUGCCCUUCAGAAGUGCUGUGAGAAAAUGAGCACCAUCCUCCCCUGGAAAUUCACCCAAUGUUAUCCUGAGAUACGCUUUAUCACGGACGCGCUCAGGGUUAUGAGGCAGCUGACGACCGUCUGCUUCACUUCUGACCUUGGAUGUUACAAGUACCAUGUGUCUGGAGACUGAUUCGUUGUCUCUGUUGGCAGUAAAUAUGAAAAGAUUGCCUCUGGGUCCUGGAAAGCUAAGAUGCAGGACGUGUGACUUCAUUCAUCGUUCAGUGUGGGGGGAGGGGUGACACGGGGACUCGAAUCAGGGGCCAGAAAGUAGACCCAGGAACAGUAAGAGCAUGGGGACGGGGGCUUGUGGAAGCAGAAAUACAGUUCUGGGGGACUGGAGAGACAGUUCAGUAGUUAAGAGCACCUGCUGCUCUUAUAAAGGAGCCAAAUCUCCAGCACCCACAUGGUAGCUCACGGCCAUCUGUAACUCCAGUUUUAGGGGUUUUGAACUCUGGGGGCACACACAUACACACACACACACACGCAUAUGUUCAUAAACAGAAUACAACAGACAUAUGCAUAAUUUUAAAAUAUAUGCAUAUAUGCAUAAUGAAAUAUUUUAAAAAAAUAUGAUUCUGGAGAGCUAAAGCGAUGGCUCAGCAGUUAAGAGCAUAUACUCCUCUUGUAGAAAACCAGGGUUUGCUUCCCAGCAACCACAUUGAGCAGUUCACAACAACCUAUAACUCUGGCUUCGGGGAAUCAGAUGCCCUCUCUGGUACCUAUGCUCACAAGCACAUACCCACAUACUCUCAAGCAUACACACACAAACAUACAAUUAAAAUAGGAAAAUAAAUCCUUUUUGUUUGCUUUUUUUUUUUUUUUUUUUUGAGACAGAGUCUCACUGGUAGACAUGGCUGGCCUGGGAGCUUGCUUUGUAGACCUGGAUGGCCUUGAACUCAUAGUGAUCUGCCUGCCUCUGCCUGGAAAGUUCUGUGAUUAAAGGAAAGUGCCACCACUCCUUGCUGAAAAUAAAAUAUUUUUUAAAUGCA
Molecule: long non-coding RNA, 1709 nt
Organism: Psammomys obesus (fat sand rat)
Lineage: Eukaryota; Metazoa; Chordata; Mammalia; Rodentia; Muridae
Exons: 2
Source: RefSeq, a predicted model, not a curated record